AGAGUGGCCCGGGGGAUUAGCCGGGGGCUGUGAGCAGCCCGCUCUGCUUCCCUCGCCCCGGCCCCGGCCCCAGCCCUAUCGCUCAGGGGACGGGGCUUGGGGGAAGGGCUCCCCCCUGCACUCAGCGGGAGCUGCAGAAGCGGAGCAGCCCGGCCCCAGCCAGCUCCCAGCCGCAGCGCUCCGCUUCCCGGCGCCGGUGCAGGGUACCUUACCCGCCCCCAAGCGACACGGCUGGGGCCGGGGCAAGGGAAGAGGAGCAGGCUGGAGCCGCGUCGCUCUGCUUCCCGCUGCCGGUGAGUGCGGGGGGCUGAUCCGCGGGGAGCGGAGCGCCGCGGCUGGGAGCUGGCGGAGCGGGACGGGCUGGAGCCACGUCGCACCGCUUCCCACCGCUGACGGCCAUAGAACGUCAGCCAGCAAUUACCAUUCCUGUCUGAGAAAUAACAUGCCUUUUAGAAAUAUAUCCAGUCUUGAUUUACAGACUUCAAGUGAUGGAGAAUCCACCAAGUCCUUAGAUAAUCUGGAGAUUAAAAAUAUACAACUACUGAAGAAUGUUGAGGUUUCUGAAUUGUACUGAAAAUAGCCUGGAUAUUCAAAGUUAAGGCUGGCACUACAUUUAACUCAGUGUGAGGGGGGGAAAAAGCAUAUUGGAGCGGUCCUCAGAUCAUGGCAAACUUAAGUUUGAAGAGGAUGUUGACCAGGUGGUUCUGCAGUUUCUUUGAGAGCGUGUGGCACAAGCUGUCAGCAUAGUCUGUGUGGAAAGAAUAAAGAACAGUGCCUGGUUGCCCAAUAACGAUUGCAAGAGAAAAUACACAACACAUAUGUAUAUUCAUCCUGUUAAGAGGAGCUUUAUGCAUUAACAAUUUUGUUCAUAUGGCAUUUCAUUUCCCUCUGUCAUUUCACAUUAGUUUGCCCUACUUGUAUUUUUCAAUCCAGAAAGAGAAUAUUACUUACUGAUAAUAUGUUCCAAACAGUAUUACGUAGAAAUGGUAAGCAGCAUCUGUUCUAGUGCUUUGAAGGUGCACAAGGAGGUUGAUGUUGCUUGCUGAGUAAAGUUCUGAUUUGCAGAUGUUCGCAUCUCAGACUAGGAGAGCUAAUUAUUUAAAAAUUGGAAGAUGCUUUUGUUGGACUGUCUGAAUCUUAAGAAGUGUAAUGUUUCUGAAAUAUGUUCAUUUGUCUCUACUACAAAGGUGUUAAAGCAAUUUUUUUUAAAAAAGCCUGAUGUUUGUAAUGAUUACAUAUUGCUCUUCCAAUUACCUUCCUUCUGUUUGAAAAUUGCUCAAAGAUUCAAAAGAGAAGUUUAAAACAAACUGUCAUAAAUAUAAAGGGAAGGGUAAACCCCUUUAAAAAUCCCUCCUGGCCAGAGGAAAUCUCCUCUCACCUGUAAAGGGUUAAGAAGCUAAAGGUAA
Chelonia mydas (Green sea turtle) is the source of this 1406-nucleotide long non-coding RNA. RefSeq lists it as uncharacterized. The record is from RefSeq and is a predicted model, not a curated record. Lineage: Eukaryota; Metazoa; Chordata; Testudines; Cheloniidae. The transcript has 5 exons.